This 158-nucleotide ribosomal RNA is filed under the name uncultured bacterium. RNAcentral describes it as "partial 16S ribosomal RNA". It matches the Rfam family "Bacterial small subunit ribosomal RNA", at positions 355 to 509 of the family's 1533-position model. The record is from RNAcentral.
UGAGGAAUAUUGGUCAAUGGCCGGAAGGCUGAACCAGCCAAGCCGCGUGAAGGACGAAGGUGCCAAAGCAUUGUAAACUUCUUUUGUCAAGGGACAAAAUCAGGCUCGAGAGCCUGACCGAGGGUACUUGAAGAAAAAGCAUCGGCUAACUCCGUGCC